This 254-nucleotide ribosomal RNA is filed under the name uncultured bacterium. RNAcentral describes it as "partial 16S ribosomal RNA". It matches the Rfam family "Bacterial small subunit ribosomal RNA", at positions 524 to 776 of the family's 1533-position model. The record is from RNAcentral.
UACGUAGGGUGCAAGCGUUGUCCGGAAUUAUUGGGCGUAAAGAGCUCGUAGGCGGUUUGUUGCGUCGGCUGUGAAAACUCGAGGCUCAACCUCGAGACGUCGGUUGAAACCGUUUGGCUAGAGUCCGGAAGAGGAGAGUGGAAUUCCCGGUGUAGCGGUGAAAUGCGCAGAUAUCGGGAAGAACACCCGUGGCGAAGGCGGCUCUCUGGGACGGUACUGACGCGUGAGACGCGAAAGCGUGGGGAGCGAACAGG